This 569-nucleotide ribosomal RNA is filed under the name uncultured Bifidobacterium sp. RNAcentral's name for it is "bacterial SSU rRNA". It matches the Rfam family "Bacterial small subunit ribosomal RNA", at positions 134 to 721 of the family's 1533-position model. The record is from RNAcentral. Lineage: Bacteria; Bacillati; Actinomycetota; Actinomycetes; Bifidobacteriales; Bifidobacteriaceae.
GAAUUCGAUUCUCCUGGAAACGGGUGGUAAUGCCGGAUGCUCCACAUGAUCACAUGUGAUUGUGGGAAAGAUUUAUCGGUAUGGGAUGGGGUCGCGUCCUAUCAGGUAGUUGGUGGGGUAAUGGCCUACCAAGCCUACGACGGGUAGCCGGCCUGAGAGGGCGACCGGCCACAUUGGGACUGAGAUACGGCCCAGACUCCUACGGGAGGCAGCAGUGGGGAAUAUUGCACAAUGGGCGCAAGCCUGAUGCAGCGACGCCGCGUGCGGGAUGACGGCCUUCGGGUUGUAAACCGCUUUUGUUAGGGAGCAAGCGCAAGUGAGUGUACCUUUCGAAUAAGCACCGGCUAACUACGUGCCAGCAGCCGCGGUAAUACGUAGGGUGCAAGCGUUAUCCGGAAUUAUUGGGCGUAAAGAGCUCGUAGGCGGUUUGUCGCGUCUGGUGUGAAAGUCCAUCGCUUAACGGUGGAUCUGCGCCGGGUACGGGCAGGCUAGAGUGUGGUAGGGGAGACUGGAAUUCCCGGUGUAACGGUGGAAUGUGUAGAUAUCGGGAAGAACACCAAUCACUAGUG